GCUCUGUGGUGGGUUUUGUGUCAUAUUUGACUUUCCCGCAAUGCCUGGCAGGUGGAAGGCCGAAGAACUCCGUCCUUGACGAACGUUGCACUAUCGCUGCGGCACCAGUUGUGACAGUUGUUCCACGAGCACAAGGGAGACAGGAGCUCUGCUAUGGAGAACCUGCAGCACUGCAUCGCGGCUUCUGUGGGCUUUCUGUCACAUGUUUGCCAUGCAAUGUGACUUUACUUCGCACUAUCGAGUCUGUUGUCAUUUCUGCUUUCCCUUGAGGGACCUUCGGCGAUCGUCCAACCUUUUCUUCUACGUUAUCACGCCUCCUGAACGAUACGUUGUCACUUCAAAUAUAUGGUAAUGCGCAAUCCACGUGAACUUCCUGCGCGGUGGAAAAGUGGUUGUCUAGUGGUAGAUUGCUGUCUGCCCUCGUACUGUUAUCAAUGAGGGCGGGUUAUGUCCCUAUGAAAAUCUCAAGUUCGUUCCCAUUCUUAGCUAUUUGCGUGAUCUCUCCGGUAGUGUGUAUCUCUGCUUCGCCUGAUUUCGUUGCUAAAGGUACUGGAUCAGAGUUGCACCGAAGUUCGUGUGGGCCCUCUCUUCCAACAACAUAUCCGGGACAGCAUUUCUGCAGUUGUGGGUGUCAAAUGGUAAUUCUGCCAGUCCGUCAUGGAAUAUGUUUAUUCCCUGGAGGUGAACGCCAGCUCUUCGUGAGGAUUACUAGUCAGUUCUCCCCACGGGGACAACGCUUUUUCUGUGUCGCAGCGUGACAUGUUUGGGUGUCUAGCACGUCGCUGCUGUAACUGUAGCUGCUGCUAGGCAAGAAGAAACCCUCUUUUCGGAAAGACCGAUGGUGACUGAUGUUUGAAACCUUCAGCUAACAACAGGUACGCGUAUCGCGUUGAGGCCUGAAGCAUAUCCAGCGUAUCCAAAUUGGG
This 926-nucleotide long non-coding RNA is filed under the name Toxoplasma gondii VEG. The record is from RNAcentral. Lineage: Eukaryota; Apicomplexa; Conoidasida; Eucoccidiorida; Sarcocystidae.